RNAcentral lists this ribosomal RNA (344 nucleotides) under uncultured bacterium. Its description in RNAcentral is "partial 16S ribosomal RNA". It matches the Rfam family "Bacterial small subunit ribosomal RNA", at positions 338 to 699 of the family's 1533-position model. The record is from RNAcentral.
CCUACGGGUGGCAGCAGUGGGGAAUAUUGCACAAUGGGGGAAACCCUGAUGCAGCGACGCCGCGUGUGGGAAGACGGUCCUCUGGCGUGUAAACCACUGUCCCCAGGGACGAAGAUGACGGUACCUGGGGAGGAAGCUCCGGCUCACUACGCGCCAGCAGCCGCGUUAAUACGUAGGGAGCGAGCGUUGUCCGGAAUUACUGGGUGGACAGGGAGCGUUGGCGGGAGUGCAAGUUGGGUGUCAAAUCUACCGGCUCAACCGGUAGCCGCAAUGAAAACUGCAGUUCUUGAGUGAAGUAGAGGCAGGCGGAAUGCGUGGUGUAGCGGUGAAAUGCGUAGAUAUUA